RNAcentral lists this transfer RNA (82 nucleotides) under Ixodes scapularis (black-legged tick). It matches the Rfam family "tRNA". Rfam says of the family: Transfer RNA (tRNA) molecules are approximately 80 nucleotides in length. Their secondary structure includes four short double-helical elements and three loops (D, anti-codon, and T loops). Lineage: Eukaryota; Metazoa; Arthropoda; Arachnida; Ixodida; Ixodidae. The record is from Rfam by way of RNAcentral.
GCAGUUGUGGCCGAGUGGUUAAGGUGAUGGACUAGAAAUCCAUUGGGGUCUCCCCACACAGGUUCGAAUCCUGUCGACUACG